AGUAGCGGCGAGCGAAACGGGAAGAGCCCAAACCAAUAAGCUUGCUUAUUGGGGUUGUAGGACACUCUAUACGGAGUUACAAAGGAAUAUAUUAAACGAAUCAUCUGGAAAGUUGAAUCAAAGAAGGUAAUAAUCCUGUAGUUGAAAAUAUAUUCUCUCUUGAGUGGAUCCUGAGUACGACGGAGCACGUGAAAUUCCGUCGGAAUCUGGGAGGACCAUCUCCUAAGGCUAAAUACUCUCUAGUGACCGAUAGUGAACCAGUACCGUGAGGGAAAGGUGAAAAGUACCCCGGAAGGGGAGUGAAAGAGAACUUGAAACCGUGUGCUUACAAGUAGUCAGAGCCCGUUAAUGGGUGAUGGCGUGCCUUUUGUAGAAUGAACCGGCGAGUUACGAUCUGAUGCAAGGUUAAGCAGAAAAUGUGGAGCCGUAGCGAAAGCGAGUCUGAAUAGGGCGUAUAGUAUUUGGUCGUAGACCCGAAACCAGGUGAUCUACCCAUGGUCAGGUUGAAGUUCAGGUAACACUGAAUGGAGGACCGAACCGACUUACGUUGAAAAGUGAGCGGAUGAACUGUGGGUAGCGGAGAAAUUCCAAUCGAACUUGGAGAUAGCUGGUUCUCUCCGAAAUAGCUUUAGGGCUAGCCUCAAGUGAUGAUUAUUGGAGGUAGAGCACUGUUUGGACGAGGGGCCCCUCUCGGGUUACCGAAUUCAGACAAACUCCGAAUGCCAAUUAAUUUAACUUGGGAGUCAGAACAUGGGUGAUAAGGUCCGUGUUCGAAAGGGAAACAGCCCAGACCACCAGCUAAGGUCCCAAAAUAUAUGUUAAGUGGAAAAGGAUGUGGCGUUGCCCAGACAACUAGGAUGUUGGCUUAGAAGCAGCCAUCAUUUAAAGAGUGCGUAAUAGCUCACUAGUCGAGUGACACUGCGCCGAAAAUGUACCGGGGCUAAACAUAUUACCGAAGCUGUGGAUUGUCCUUUGGACAAUGGUAGGAGAGCGUUCUAAGGGCGUUGAAGCAUGAUCGCAAGGACAUGUGGAGCGCUUAGAAGUGAGAAUGCCGGUGUGAGUAGCGAAAGACGGGUGAGAAUCCCGUCCACCGAUUGACUAAGGUUUCCAGAGGAAGGCUCGUCCGCUCUGGGUUAGUCGGGUCCUAAGCUGAGGCCGACAGGCGUAGGCGAUGGAUAACAGGUUGAUAUUCCUGUACCACCUAUAAUCGUUUUAAUCGAUGGGGGGACGCAGUAGGAUAGGCGAAGCGUACGAUUGGAUUGUACGUCUAAGCAGUGAGAUUGAGUGUUAGGCAAAUCCGGCACUCUUAAGAUUGAGCUGUGAUGGGGAGAGGAAAUUGUUUCCUCGAGUCGUUGAUUUCACACUGCCGAGAAAAGCCUCUAGAUAGAGAUUAGGUGCCCGUACCGCAAACCGACACAGGUAGUCAAGAUGAGAAUUCUAAGGUGAGCGAGCGAACUCUCGUUAAGGAACUCGGCAAAAUGACCCCGUAACUUCGGGAGAAGGGGUGCUCUUUAGGGUGCAAGCCCAGAAGAGCCGCAGUGAAUAGGCCCAAGCGACUGUUUAUCAAAAACACAGGUCUCUGCUAAACCGUAAGGUGAUGUAUAGGGGCUGACGCCUGCCCGGUGCUGGAAGGUUAAGAGGAGUGGUUAGCUUCUGCGAAGCUACGAAUCGAAGCCCCAGUAAACGGCGGCCGUAACUAUAACGGUCCUAAGGUAGCGAAAUUCCUUGUCGGGUAAGUUCCGACCCGCACGAAAGGCGUAACGAUUUGGGCACUGUCUCAACGAGAGACUCGGUGAAAUCAUAGUACCUGUGAAGAUGCAGGUUACCCGCGACAGGACGGAAAGACCCCGUGGAGCUUUACUGUAGCCUGAUAUUGAAAUUCGGCACAGCUUGUACAGGAUAGGUAGGAGCCUUUGAAACGUGAGCGCUAGCUUACGUGGAGGCGUUGGUGGGAUACUACCCUAGCUGUGUUGGCUUUCUAACCCGCACCACUUAUCGUGGUGGGAGACAGUGUCAGGCGGGCAGUUUGACUGGGGCGGUCGCCUCCUAAAAGGUAACGGAGGCGCUCAAAGGUUCCCUCAGAAUGGUUGGAAAUCAUUCAUAGAGUGUAAAGGCAUAAGGGAGCUUGACUGCGAGACCUACAAGUCGAGCAGGGUCGAAAGACGGACUUAGUGAUCCGGUGGUUCCG
Molecule: ribosomal RNA, 2188 nt
Filed under: Staphylococcus hominis
Lineage: Bacteria; Bacillati; Bacillota; Bacilli; Caryophanales; Staphylococcaceae
Description: partial 23S ribosomal RNA
Rfam family: Bacterial large subunit ribosomal RNA
Source: RNAcentral